GACGAACGCUGGCGGCGUGCUUAACACAUGCAAGUCGAACGGAAAGGCCUGCUUUCCCUUGUGGAUUGCGGGUACUCGAGUGGCGAACGGGUGAGUAACACGUGCGCUAUCUGUCCCCAACUCGGCUAUAAGCCUGGGAAACUGGGGCUAAUUCCCGCUAGGACUGCAGGGUGGGGUCUGUGGUGGAAAACGAUGUUCUAGUGCUCGGGGAUGAGCUCGCGGCCUAUCAGCUUGUUGGUGGGGUAAUGGUGUACCAAUGCUGCGCCGGGUAGCCGGCCUGGGGGGGUGGGCGGGCACGUGUGGCCUGAGAUACUGGCCAGGCUCCUACGGCAGGCAGCAGUGGGGAGGAAGGCGCGAUGGACGGAGGCCUGAGGCAGCAACGCCGAGUGAGCAAUGACGGGCGUCGGGUUGUAGACUCCUGGCGGCAGCGAGGAAGCCACCGUGUUGAAAGGUUAGUGACGGUAGUGGGAAAAGAAGCACCGGCUAACUACGUG
This 494-nucleotide ribosomal RNA is filed under the name uncultured bacterium. RNAcentral's name for it is "partial 16S ribosomal RNA". It matches the Rfam family "Bacterial small subunit ribosomal RNA", at positions 28 to 507 of the family's 1533-position model. The record is from RNAcentral.